CUCCACCUUCCUUUUUUUCUUCCUCCUUUCCUCCACUUGGGUUAACGAACGAACCCAGGCCUUCACAGAUAAACAGGUGGAUGCUGGAAGGGUGGGGUGGAUUGGUGGAAUGGUGUAGUGUGCCGCUGUCCACCUAUCUAUCUAUAAGGUGCAGGGGAUGAAGGGGUAACAAGGAAGGUUUAAAAGGAUGUGAAGCGCUCUCCCAUCUAUCUAUCUAUAAGGUGCAGGGGAUGAAGGGGUAACAAGGACGGUUUAAAAGGAUGUGUAGCGCUGUCCCAUCUAUCUAUCUAUAAGGUGCAGGGGAUGAAGGGGUAACAAGGAAGGUUUAAAAGGAUGCGUAGCGCUAACCCAUCUAUCUAUCUAUAAGGUGCAGGGGAUGAAGGGGUAACAAGGAAGGUUUAAAAGGAUGUGUAGCGCUA
Eriocheir sinensis (Chinese mitten crab) is the source of this 419-nucleotide long non-coding RNA. RefSeq lists it as uncharacterized. The transcript has 3 exons. The record is from RefSeq and is a predicted model, not a curated record. Lineage: Eukaryota; Metazoa; Arthropoda; Malacostraca; Decapoda; Varunidae.